Molecule: ribosomal RNA, 253 nt
Filed under: uncultured bacterium
Lineage: Bacteria
Description: partial 16S ribosomal RNA
Rfam family: Bacterial small subunit ribosomal RNA
Source: RNAcentral
UACGUAGGGUGCAAGCGUUAAUCGGAAUUACUGGGCGUAAAGCGUGCGCAGGCGGUUAUAUAAGACAGUUGUGAAAUCCCCGGGCUUAACCUGGGAACUGCAUUUGUGACUGCAAGACUAGAGUGUGUCAGAGGGGGGUGGAAUUCCACGUGUAGCAGUGAAAUGCGUAGAGAUGUGGAGGAACACCGAUGGCGAAGGCAGCCCCCUGGGAUAACACUGACGCUCAGGCACGAAAGCGUGGGGAGCAAACAGG